AUUGAACGCUGGCGGCAGGCCUAACACAUGCAAGUCGAGCGGAUGAAGGGAGCUUGCUCCUGGAUUCAGCGGCGGACGGGUGAGUAAUGCCUAGGAAUCUGCCUGGUAGUGGGGGAUAACGUCCGGAAACGGGCGCUAAUACCGCAUACGUCCUGAGGGAGAAAGUGGGGGAUCUUCGGACCUCACGCUAUCAGAUGAGCCUAGGUCGGAUUAGCUAGUUGGUGGGGUAAAGGCCUACCAAGGCGACGAUCCGUGACUGGUCUGAGAGGAUGAUCAGUCACACUGGAACUGAGACACGGUCCAGACUCCUACGGGAGGCAGCAGUGGGGAAUAUUGGACAAUGGGCGAAAGCCUGAUCCAGCCAUGCCGCGUGUGUGAAGAAGGUCUUCGGAUUGUAAAGCACUUUAAGUUGGGAGGAAGGACAGUAAGUUAAUACCUUGCUGUUUUGACGUUACCAACAGAAUAAGCACCGGCUAACUUCGUG
RNAcentral lists this ribosomal RNA (484 nucleotides) under uncultured bacterium. Its description in RNAcentral is "partial 16S ribosomal RNA". It matches the Rfam family "Bacterial small subunit ribosomal RNA", at positions 30 to 507 of the family's 1533-position model. The record is from RNAcentral.